RNAcentral lists this ribosomal RNA (330 nucleotides) under uncultured bacterium. RNAcentral describes it as "bacterial SSU rRNA". It matches the Rfam family "Bacterial small subunit ribosomal RNA", at positions 568 to 898 of the family's 1533-position model. The record is from RNAcentral.
CGUGUAGGCGGUUGGUUAAGUCGGGUGUGAAAGCCCGGGCUUAUCUUCGGAAGUGCAUCCGAAACUGGCCAACUAGAGCGCGGUAGGAGGAGGGUGGAAUUCCUGGUGUAGCGGUGAAAUGCGUAGAUAUCAGGAGGAACACCGGCGGCGAAGGCGGCCCUCUGGACCGUUGCUGGCGCUGAGACGCGAAAGCGUGGGGAGCAAACAGGAUUAGAUACCCUGGUAGUCCACGCUGUAAACUAUGGGUACUAGGUGUUCGGGUGUUGACCCCUGAGUGCCGACGCUAACGCAUUAAGUACCCCGCCUGGGGACUACGGCCGCAAGGUUAAA